This 24-nucleotide non-coding RNA is filed under the name Rattus norvegicus (Norway rat). Lineage: Eukaryota; Metazoa; Chordata; Mammalia; Rodentia; Muridae. The record is from RNAcentral.
UGGAAUGGGGUGAUCCUUCCAGAU